UUAAAUUGAAGAGUUUGAUCAUGGCUCAGAUUGAACGCUGGCGGCAGGCCUAACACAUGCAAGUCGAACGGUAACAGGAAACAGCUUGCUGUUUCGCUGACGAGUGGCGGACGGGUGAGUAAUGUCUGGGAAACUGCCUGAUGGAGGGGGAUAACUACUGGAAACGGUAGCUAAUACCGCAUAACGUCGCAAGACCAAAGAGGGGGACCUUCGGGCCUCUUGCCAUCGGAUGUGCCCAGAUGGGAUUAGCUAGUAGGUGGGGUAACGGCUCACCUAGGCGACGAUCCCUAGCUGGUCUGAGAGGAUGACCAGCCACACUGGAACUGAGACACGGUCCAGACUCCUACGGGAGGCAGCAGUGGGGAAUAUUGCACAAUGGGCGCAAGCCUGAUGCAGCCAUGCCGCGUGUAUGAAGAAGGCCUUCGGGUUGUAAAGUACUUUCAGCGGGGAGGAAGGGAGUAAAGUUAAUACCUUUGCUCAUUGACGUUACCCGCAGAAGAAGCACCGGCUAACUCCGUGCCAGCAGCCGCGGUAAUACGGAGGGUGCAAGCGUUAAUCGGAAUUACUGGGCGUAAAGCGCACGCAGGCGGUUUGUUAAGUCAGAUGUGAAAUCCCCGGGCUCAACCUGGGAACUGCAUCUGAUACUGGCAAGCUUGAGUCUCGUAGAGGGGGUAGAAUUCCAGGUGUAGCGGUGAAAUGCGUAGAGAUCUGGAGGAAUACCGGUGGCGAAGGCGGCCCCCUGGACGAAGACUGACGCUCAGGUGCGAAAGCGUGGGGAGCAAACAGGAUUAGAUACCCUGGUAGUCCACGCCGUAAACGAUGUCGACUUGGAGGUUGUGCCCUUGAGGCGUGGCUUCCGGAGCUAACGCGUUAAGUCGACCGCCUGGGGAGUACGGCCGCAAGGUUAAAACUCAAAUGAAUUGACGGGGGCCCGCACAAGCGGUGGAGCAUGUGGUUUAAUUCGAUGCAACGCGAAGAACCUUACCUGGUCUUGACAUCCACAGAACCUUGUAGAGAUACGAGGGUGCCUUCGGGAACUGUGAGACAGGUGCUGCAUGGCUGUCGUCAGCUCGUGUUGUGAAAUGUUGGGUUAAGUCCCGCAACGAGCGCAACCCUUAUCCUUUGUUGCCAGCGGUCCGGCCGGGAACUCAAAGGAGACUGCCAGUGAUAAACUGGAGGAAGGUGGGGAUGACGUCAAGUCAUCAUGGCCCUUACGACCAGGGCUACACACGUGCUACAAUGGCGCAUACAAAGAGAAGCGACCUCGCGAGAGCAAGCGGACCUCAUAAAGUGCGUCGUAGUCCGGAUUGGAGUCUGCAACUCGACUCCAUGAAGUCGGAAUCGCUAGUAAUCGUGGAUCAGAAUGCCACGGUGAAUACGUUCCCGGGCCUUGUACACACCGCCCGUCACACCAUGGGAGUGGGUUGCAAAAGAAGUAGGUAGCUUAACCUUCGGGAGGGCGCUUACCACUUUGUGAUUCAUGACUGGGGUGAAGUCGUAACAAGGUAACCGUAGGGGAACCUGCGGUUGGAUCACCUCCUUACCUUAAAGAAGC
RNAcentral lists this ribosomal RNA (1555 nucleotides) under Escherichia coli. RNAcentral's name for it is "bacterial SSU rRNA". It matches the Rfam family "Bacterial small subunit ribosomal RNA". The record is from RNAcentral. Lineage: Bacteria; Pseudomonadati; Pseudomonadota; Gammaproteobacteria; Enterobacterales; Enterobacteriaceae.